Long non-coding RNA from Thalassophryne amazonica, 151 nucleotides. RefSeq lists it as uncharacterized. Lineage: Eukaryota; Metazoa; Chordata; Actinopteri; Batrachoidiformes; Batrachoididae. The record is from RefSeq and is a predicted model, not a curated record. The transcript has 3 exons.
CUGCCACCACCUUACAGUCUCCAAUUUAUUUUAGCUUGCAUCUCUGACAAAGAAUGUCAUUCACCUGUGUGCACCUUCCUCCACUCUUAUAUGUGACCCUGUGCUCCUCCCAUGUCUUAAAGUAGAUAUUCACUGGGGUUGUCCCAUCUUA